CUCUGACUAACUGCAUGUCCUUUUUUACACUGUGUCCCGGUGUCGAUCAAACACAGUGAAUUGCGCGAUAUGUACUUAGCAACAUGUGUGAUUAUUGCCUGCACAUACCUCGCCGUGAAAGCGACACACAUCUUCAACGUGGAGAGAGACUUCAGCCGGCUGAGCAAAGACGCGGAGCUUAGUAAGUAUGUGGGAGAGAUAAUAGCCAAGCUGAAGACUUUCAAAGUCCAGGUGCACCCCCGCAUCCGUCUGUUCUACCAGUUGCUGAAGCGAGGCAUGAUGGACUACCGGCAGAAGCAUUCCGACUCGCUCUACAACCCUGAAGCCUACCAAGUCAAGGACCACAACCUGGAAACUAACACUGGAUCAUAGACGCAGCACCCAGCAUUAAUAUAAUGUAUCAUACUCAAAUAAAAAUCAA
Long non-coding RNA from Leptidea sinapis, 421 nucleotides. RefSeq lists it as uncharacterized. The record is from RefSeq and is a predicted model, not a curated record. The transcript has 3 exons. NCBI's taxonomy places the organism in Eukaryota, Metazoa, Arthropoda, Insecta, Lepidoptera, Pieridae.